AGUGAACGCUGGCGGUAGGCCUAACACAUGCAAGUCGAACGGCAGCACAGUAAGAGCUUGCUCUUACGGGUGGCGAGUGGCGGACGGGUGAGGAAUACAUCGGAAUCUACUUUUUCGUGGGGGAUAACGUAGGGAAACUUACGCUAAUACCGCAUACGACCUACGGGUGAAAGCAGGGGAUCUUCGGACCUUGCGCGAUUGAAUGAGCCGAUGUCGGAUUAGCUAGUUGGCGGGGUAAAGGCCCACCAAGGCGACGAUCCGUAGCUGGUCUGAGAGGAUGAUCAGCCACACUGGAACUGAGACACGGUCCAGACUCCUACGGGAGGCAGCAGUGGGGAAUAUUGGACAAUGGGCGCAAGCCUGAUCCAGCCAUACCGCGCGGGUGAAGAAGGCCUUCGGGUUGUAAAGCCCUUUUGUUGGGAAAGAAAAGCAGCAGGUUAAUACCCCGCUGUUCUGACGGGACCCAAAGAAUAAGCACCGGCUAACUUCGU
RNAcentral lists this ribosomal RNA (491 nucleotides) under uncultured bacterium. Its description in RNAcentral is "partial 16S ribosomal RNA". It matches the Rfam family "Bacterial small subunit ribosomal RNA", at positions 29 to 506 of the family's 1533-position model. The record is from RNAcentral.